CUGGCUCAGGAUGAACGCUAGCUACAGGCUUAACACAUGCAAGUCGAGGGGCAGCAUGAUCGAAGCUUGCUUUGAUUGAUGGCGACCGGCGCACGGGUGAGUAACGCGUAUCCAACCUUCCCUAUAGUAGAGAAUAGCCCGGCGAAAGUCGGAUUAAUGCUCUAUGUUGUAUUUAGAGGACAUCUGAAGAAUACCAAAGGUUUACCGCUAUAGGAUGGGGAUGCGUCUGAUUAGGUAGUAGGCGGGGUAACGGCCCACCUAGCCGACGAUCAGUAGGGGUUCUGAGAGGAAGGUCCCCCACAUUGGAACUGAGACACGGUCCAAACUCCUACGGGAGGCAGCAGUGAGGAAUAUUGGUCAAUGGACGGAAGUCUGAACCAGCCAAAGUAGCGUGCAGGAUGACGGCCCUAUGGGUUGUAAACUGCUUUUAUAUAGGGAUAAAGUCGGGGACGUGUCCCCGUUUGUAGGUACUAUAUGAAUAAGGACCGGCUAAUUCCGUGCCAGCCGCCGC
This 511-nucleotide ribosomal RNA is filed under the name uncultured bacterium. Its description in RNAcentral is "bacterial SSU rRNA". It matches the Rfam family "Bacterial small subunit ribosomal RNA", at positions 19 to 518 of the family's 1533-position model. The record is from RNAcentral.